UUUCCGGUUGAUCCUGCCGGACCUGACUGCUAUCGGAUUGAUACUAAGCCAUGCGAGUCUUUGCAGUAAUGCAAGGCAUACGGCUCAGUAACACGUAGUCAACUUACCCUAUGGACGAGGAUAAUCUCGGGAAACUAAGCAUAAUACUCGAUAGAUCAUAAUGCCUGGAAUGGUUUAUGGUUGAAAUGAUUCGUCGCCAUAGGAUGGGACUGCGGCCUAUCAGCUUGUUGGUGAGGUAAUGGCCCACCAAGGCGAUUACAGGUACGGGCUCUGAGAGGAGAAGCCCGGAGAUGGGUACUGAGACAAGGACCCAGGCCCUAUGGGGCGCAGCAGGCGAGAAAACUUUGCAAUGUGCGAAAGCACGACAAGGUUAAUCCGAGUGAUUUCUGCUAAAGAAAUCUUUUGCAAGUCAUAAAACCACUAGUGAAUAAGGGGUGGGCAAGUUCUGGUGUCAGCCGCCGCGGUAAAACCAGCACCUCAAGUGGUCAGGAGGAUUAUUGGGCCUAAAGCAUCCGUAGCCGGCUCUGUAAGUUUUCGGUUAAAUCCAUGUGCUCAACGCAUGGGCUGCCGAAAAUACUGCAUAGCUAGGGAGUGGGAGAGGUAGACGGUACUCGGUAGGAAGGGGUAAAAUCCUUUGAUCUAUCGAUGACCACCUGUGGCGAAGGCGGUCUACCAGAACACGUUCGACGGUGAGGGAUGAAAGCUGGGGGAGCAAACCGGAUUAGAUACCCGGGUAGUCCCAGCUGUAAACGAUGCAGACUCGAUGAUGCAUUGGCAUAUAGCCAGUGCAGUGUCGCAGGGAAGCCGUUAAGUCUGCCGCCUGGGAAGUACGUACGCAAGUAUGAAACUUAAAGGAAUUGGCGGGGGAGCACCACAAGGGGUGAAGCCUGCGGUUCAAUUGGAGUCAACGCCGGG
This 915-nucleotide ribosomal RNA is filed under the name uncultured archaeon. RNAcentral's name for it is "SSU rRNA". It matches the Rfam family "Archaeal small subunit ribosomal RNA", at positions 1 to 922 of the family's 1478-position model. The record is from RNAcentral.